CUUUUAUUUGAACUUUAGUAAUUGAGAACAUAAUCAAAAGAAUUUUGUACUUUUUUCUGAAAGGUGCCAAGAUAACGAACCCUUUGAUCAAAAGCCUUGCCCCCCUUCUGGUUACUUUCCACUUCCACUCUAGUGAACCAUUCCCAAACACCGAUCUUUAUCUUACAGCAGCAAAACAAUUCUUAACAAAGGUACGUGUAAAUGACCCUUUUUGAAUCUGUUGCCUGGGCAUGACUUCCCAUCCAUGGAAUGCAUGUGCCUGACUCAAAUUUCAUACAUCAGUUCUAUCCUUUAUAAAGAUCCAGAACAACAGCCCUUUACUUUUCCACUGUUGCUGAAGCUGGUGUUCACGUGUACAACCUUUCCCUGUGUAUACAAGUCAACCAACUGACUUGAGUAUGAGGAUGCUUUUGCUUUUGGUUCUUGUACCGCUUUCAUUGAGCGAUUGCAGUGAAGAUUUACCUGAAAAGAAAGAGCAGCUCUUUUCAGUCACCACCAACACUAAAAACAAUGCUGAGAGAGGGAAACUGACACCCGCACACCCGAUCAAUGGUCCAAUACAGCACAGUGACCAAUUGAAUCACAAUGAGCUGGUGAACAUGCCCUAUCGUCAACGGCUGGUUGAAAGGAAAAGCAAGCGUGGGAGAUUGAGAAGACUUUGCCAGUUAAAAAAAUCCAAAAAGGUGAGGAGGUGUUUCAGGUUUUCCAAACCGAAGAAAGAAAGAAAAUCUUCAAAGUUUAGUCUCAGUAUUCCAAUCUGAGCACCGGGAUAAUCAUCUUCCAUACCAGAGGUGAAAGUAAUGGAUUACAAGUGCUCAAGUUACUGUAAUUGUGUUGCUUUUUUAGGUACCUGUGCUUUUUUGAGUGGAGUCAUUUGUUACAUUUCUACAAUUGUUACUGAGUAAGUAAGAUUGUAAUUGUUGGAGUUCUUAUUAUUUUUCUUCCACAACUUGCUUUGUCAUAAAACUCCUCCUAGACUAUUAAUGCAGCGCUAACGGGGGCAAGUGCAGUCGUGUUUAUUACCAAAAAUAAAAGCGGGGGGUGAAAGUAACUAGUAACUACU
This 1063-nucleotide long non-coding RNA is filed under the name Gouania willdenowi (blunt-snouted clingfish). RNAcentral describes it as "lncRNA (ENSGWIG00000010870.1)". Lineage: Eukaryota; Metazoa; Chordata; Actinopteri; Blenniiformes; Gobiesocidae. The record is from RNAcentral.